UUCGCUUUUGUUAUUUCCGGCGUAAUAGGUAACCUGAGGAUUGUCGUGCCAUUUCGUAAUAAAAUCCUUCAAAUCUUUACCGUUGACAAAACAUUCAACAAACGCUUUUUGAAAGACUCUUCCUCCUUUGGGACCCCAUCCAAAAACGGGAUCAGCAGAUGGAGCACCAUUUACAGCUGGUUGACUUCCAACUGUCCACCAAGAAUUACCAUUUAGUUUUAAAAGAUACUUCGCAAUAGUUUUCGUUUCCACUUCAACAGGCUCAUCAAUCCAUGGAAUUGCUGAUAUGUCACUCAUAAUAUGUUUCUGGAACAAAGAAGUGAUAUCAGAUUCAUCCACCGGAUAUCCCCAAAGUUUUAAUGCUUCACUUGGAGGAAAGUGUAAUGUUGGACCAUAACCGUCAAUUUCACCAUAUGCAGGGGAGCGUGGAUCGCCAAAACGACCAUUUGUAAAAUCGUCCCAAUUUGCUUGACGACCUAAAACUCCACUACCUUCAGAAACGGAGAACGGUGCUUCUUCGGUUAAAUUGUCUUUGUGGCCAGAUACACUACUUUGUUUAGAAGUUACGAAAAGAUUCGACGAUUUGUCGGCAACUGGUUGCUGAGAGGGAACAACUACUUGAUUAUGAAGUUCCGCGGGUUCAUCAAGGCUAAGACGUUUGCGGGUUGUUCGAAGCAAUUUCUCAUCCUCCAUCUCUGACUCAACCUGUUUCCAACGUUUGGUAAGCAAACCGCUGUUUUUAAGGAUAAGAGCAACGGAUCGUUCCAAAUUCAGUGUGCAAAAAUGAAAUCCAUGCACCCGGCCUUGCACAUUGUCCAUUAUCUUUUUAAUCAUAUCAACUAUGUGCUCGACACCAAUGUUUUUUAUAGCUUCAUCAUCUGGUUUAGCUGCAUUAAGGCGCUGCAUUAAGGAAGAGGGAACACUGCAACCACAAAGACGAGUCAUUCUUUUAAGACUUCCAUAGGAUUGAAUAGGCAUAAUGGCGGGAAUAAUGGGAAUAUUUCGUAAAGCAUUAGAGCUAUGAUUCCUAACAAAAUUUUCAAAUUUAAUAAAAGCUUCGGGCUCGUAGAAGAUUUGAGUAAUUAUGAAAUCAGCGCCAGCUUCAACUUUUUCAAUCAGGAAAGGAAUGUCUCGUAACGGAUCUUUAGACAGCUCCGGAACGUUGGAAUCGACAUGACCUUCAGGAUAAGCAGCGACACCUAUACAAAAGUAAUCUCCAUAUUUUUCACGUAUGUAUCGUACUAAAUCCACCGCGUGCUCAAACUCACUAACCUUUCCUUCCCAAUGAUCGCUAUUUAAAGGCGGGUCACCUCGCAAGGCCAAGAUGUUACGAAUUCCAUAUUCCUUAGCAGUUUCGAGAGCCUUAUCGAUUAUGGCUUUAUCUACAUUGGUACACGUCAAAUGUAAACAAGCUGGGAUUUUGUGAUGCUGCUCUAGCAUUUUGGCUAAAUAAAUUGAGACCUCCGCAGUAGAACCAGCUGUACCCCAUGUUACACUAGAAAAUAAUGGCAUCAUGUUUCGCGACAUUCUCGUUAUACGACUAGAAAGAUUUUCCAAACCGACUGUGGUUUUCGGUGGAAAAUACUCAAAUGAGUAGAAUGCGUUUCCAUUAGGAAUUUUAUCAAUCAAAUCAACAAUCUUCAUGAUUGCUUAGGGAUAUCGAAGCAAAAUUGAAGGUAUUUGAGGUGUGCGCUUAGGAAAUGCCCUCUUCGCGAUAAGUUGAAUCAAAUCAUGGAUUCGAUGUAGUAACG
This 1751-nucleotide long non-coding RNA is filed under the name Schizosaccharomyces pombe (fission yeast). The record is from RNAcentral. Lineage: Eukaryota; Fungi; Ascomycota; Schizosaccharomycetes; Schizosaccharomycetales; Schizosaccharomycetaceae.